This 253-nucleotide ribosomal RNA is filed under the name uncultured bacterium. Its description in RNAcentral is "partial 16S ribosomal RNA". It matches the Rfam family "Bacterial small subunit ribosomal RNA", at positions 524 to 776 of the family's 1533-position model. The record is from RNAcentral.
UACAGAGACUGCAAGCGUUAUUCGGAUUCACUGGGCGUAAAGUGUGCGCAGGCGGCCGAGCAAGUCGAGUGUGAAAGCCCCGAGCUUAACUUGGGAACUGCGCUCGAAACUACUUGGCUAGAGUGUGGCAGAGGGAGGUGGAAUUCCACGUGUAGCGGUGAAAUGCGUAGAGAUGUGGAGGAACACCGAUGGCGAAGGCAGCCUCCUGGGCCAACACUGACGCUCAUGCACGAAAGCGUGGGGAGCAAACAGG